GGUGGUGCUAAGAAACAUCACUCUGAGGUGGUGCGUAAAGAUAUUAAUCUUUCACCUGAUGUGUUCACACUAGGCAAAAAGUUCACCAAACUGUUGAGAUUUAAGGUUCUAAUUCCUGAUAAUUUAUGUUUGGCCACAGAAUUAAAUGUAUUACCUCUGAGCUGUUUUAUUGACAAAUGCAGAUGUGACCUAGCCUGCCUUCACACAAACGCACACAAUGCCUUUGCAGCAACAGUAGAUCAGCUUCUCUGCGCCGGUGUUCCUCACAGCAGUAGUGAUGAGAAUUUAAUAAGGCUUCAAGAAGUUCUAUUGAACAACACACGUUACUUGUUAGAGAUGGAGCCCAAACCAAAAAUCUAGAUCCAAACUCCUCUGACCUUUGUCGAAGUUCGGGUCCAGAGCCAGACUUCACGGCUACCAUGUAACGGUAAAGACCCAAACCAGAAUGCCAGGUCCCAUCCUCUUUGAACUUUGGGAAGGCUUAGGCUUGGUUCCAGUCUAACUAGCUUGGGCCCAUCUCUAGUUUUCAACUCCCAUCUUCAAGUAAUUUAGCCAAAUCCAGUGACAUAAGGUGUAUAAAGUUACACAUUGAAUGUAGCAUAGUCCAAUGAAAGGUGAUGGGAGUGACAUCCACUAUACACCAGAAAUGGAUUUGUCUGAGGAGGAGGAGAGAGUGUGUGUGGCAGACCUCUCUGUUAGUUGAUUUUCUUGCUACACACACUACUUCCACUCCAUUUGUGACUCAUUUUGCAUGCCCAGUGCCUGAUUCUGAUUAAUGUCUGUACUGCAGUUUGAACACAAAGUACUAUAUCGAUAAGUAAUGUUGCUGUGUGUAAUUCAUUAGCUCACUUACAUUGUUUUUUCCCCCACCACCGUUAUGUGACUGACUUCCCUGGAGUUCUGAUGUUCACCAGGGUGCGUUAGAUCAGAAUCAGAUGCCACUGAACUACAAAUUGGUGCAAGUUAGUGCACAAGGCCCUGUGCUGUUCAUUUACAAAGUUUGGAUUACUCUGAUAGUGUUGAAUGCUGUAAACCUCUCUAGUAACAGCAACUACAUACUCAGAAAAGAUAUCCAAGUUUGUACUGAAACACUUCUGAUGGCUUGGUUCUUGUGAGAUAGUCUUUAUGGAGGAAACUGAUUGCAGCAUCCUCCAUUUUCUUCUUGGUCAUAUCAGUAUUUUUAUGAUUCAAGUGUCCCUUUUCAUGAUUUUAACUUGUCAUUUUCUAAUGUAUAUUUCAAAUAAAUGUUGGAAGGAAAAUCA
Molecule: long non-coding RNA, 1262 nt
Filed under: Chrysemys picta bellii (western painted turtle)
Lineage: Eukaryota; Metazoa; Chordata; Testudines; Emydidae
Description: lncRNA (ENSCPBG00000023318.1)
Source: RNAcentral